CGCGGGUAUCCUGCAGUGAAUACAUAGCUGCUGGAAGCGAACCUGGUGAACUGAAAUAUCUAAGUAACCAGAGGAAAAGAAAUCAACCGAGAUUCCGUAAGUAGCGACGAGCGAACGCGGACUAGCCCUUAAGCUGGAUUGGUUCUAGGAAAACGCUCUGGAAAGAGCGGCCAUAGAAGGUGAUAGCCCUGUAUCUGAAAGGGCCAUUCCAGUGAAGACGAGUAGGGCGGGGCACGUGAAACCCUGUCUGAACAUGGGGGGACCAUCCUCCAAGGCUAAAUACUACUGACCGACCGAUAGUGAACCAGUACCGUGAGGGAAAGGCGAAAAGAACCCCGGAGAGGGGAGUGAAAUAGAACCUGAAACCGUGUGCGUACAAGCAGUAGGAGCUCCGCAAGGAGUGACUGCGUACCUUUUGUAUAAUGGGUCAGCGACUUACUGUUCGUGGCAAGCUUAACCGUAUAGGGGAGGCGAAGGGAAACCGAGUCUGAUAAGGGCGCAUAGUCGCGGGCAGUAGACCCGAAACCGGGUGAUCUAGUCAUGCCCAGGGUGAAGGUGCGGUAACACGCACUGGAGGCCCGAACCCACUCCCGUUGCAAAGGUAGGGGAUGAGGUGUGAUUAGGAGUGAAAAGCUAAUCGAACCCGGAGAUAGCUGGUUCUCCUCGAAAGCUAUUUAGGUAGCGCCUCAUAUGUAUCCUCUCGGGGGUAGAGCACUGUUAUGGCUAGGGGGUCAUCGCGACUUACCAAACCAUUGCAAACUCCGAAUACCGAGACGGACUGUAUGGGAGACACACGGCGGGUGCUAACGUCCGUCGUGAAAAGGGAAACAACCCAGACCCACAGCUAAGGUCCCAAAUUCACUGCUAAGUGGAAAACCAUGUGGAAAGGCACAGACAGCCAGGAGGUUGGCUUAGAAGCAGCCACCCUUUAAAGAAAGCGUAAUAGCUCACUGGUCGAGUCGGUCUGCGGGGAAGAUUUAACGGGGCUAAGCAGUGAACCGAAGCUUGGGGUGCAUACUUUGUAUGCGCGGUAGAGGAGCGUUCCGUAAGCCGUUGAAGGUGGAUUGAGAAGUCUGCUGGAGGUAUCGGAAGUGCGAAUGCUGACAUGAGUAACGAUAAUGCGGGUGAAAAA
RNAcentral lists this ribosomal RNA (1132 nucleotides) under Klebsiella ornithinolytica. RNAcentral describes it as "bacterial LSU rRNA". It matches the Rfam family "Bacterial large subunit ribosomal RNA", at positions 143 to 1328 of the family's 2925-position model. The record is from RNAcentral. Lineage: Bacteria; Pseudomonadati; Pseudomonadota; Gammaproteobacteria; Enterobacterales; Enterobacteriaceae.